AGCAGUUCGUGUUAAUGACAUUAAUCCAAACUUAUUGAUGACGUGAUAACAUGGGCGUCGAAUCCAAUAUUAAUCAUGCUGAGGUUUUCUCGACGGGGUAAUGUGUAUAAAUGCAGUUAUAAAAUUAAAAGGGACAAGAUAGUCGACGUGACCCUCAUGUUUCCAUGGCAAUCAGUCAAUUACAUGUUACGCUUAUGAUCGCACCUGCGGUCAUUCGCGCAGUAUCCAUUAUUUUAAGCGGCAUGAAACACUUAAGUUAACUCCUUUGUACGAAAAUAUCAUGUCGUCGCCCUUCAAAUUAGAAAAGUGAGGAUGAUCUUGUCAAUGCUGAGAUUUUCAUGCAUCAACAGCCACUACAUCUGGAUCAGAUUGAACAAGAAACAGACAGCAAGGGUUGUCAGAUCAGAAACAGAAUGACACACAAACACAAGAAACUUCACAGGCAGAUCAACAUGCAAUUUGAAGACGUGUGAUAAAAUACAGAGAGGUGAAGUAGUGUGUCUUUCCAGAUCCCCAAAUCAUUCCCCCUUAAAAGAUGAGCCUGAAGAGGAGAUUUGGGAAGAUGCUGUUUCGUAAGUCGCUUUGCCAGAUCACCUGUGGUCGGGAUGUCUGCUAACAAGAUGCCUUGCUGGUCUGAGUGAGAUUAAAGUCUUAGACAGACAGUCCAGAAGUUCUGAAGUCCAUCUUCGAUUUCAUUGAUGCUGUCAUCGUAUUAAGUACAGCAUGAGCCAGAAUAGAUGGGUGGUGGUGGCCAUAAGAAGACUGUCAACUAAACCAACAACAAAAUUCUUAUUUGUAGUUUUUCUUGAAUAAAGUUUUUCUAUUCAGAUUAAUAAAAUGACUUUUAAACAUGA
Non-coding RNA from Paramisgurnus dabryanus, 854 nucleotides. Lineage: Eukaryota; Metazoa; Chordata; Actinopteri; Cypriniformes; Cobitidae. The record is from RefSeq and is a predicted model, not a curated record.